RNAcentral lists this long non-coding RNA (5970 nucleotides) under Sus scrofa (pig). Its description in RNAcentral is "lncRNA (ENSSSCG00035058077.1)". Lineage: Eukaryota; Metazoa; Chordata; Mammalia; Artiodactyla; Suidae. The record is from RNAcentral.
UAGAGAGAGACAUUUAAUUUGGCGAUAAAAUAUCUAUUUGAUCCACUGAACUAGUUAAACAUUUAUUAGAAUAAAUUUCAAGAACCAUGCAUGUACUCUGAUAAAGCACAGGUAACAUUACCUCACUGCGCAAGUCUGUUCUACAAAUACACUCAGACCGCUGAGAUUGCAAAGCAGUGUGGUCAACCAAGAACCUGAGACCCUGUUUCCAAACAAGAUUUUUUGGUUAUGAAAAAUCCAUAAUUACAAACAUCUAUGCUUUUUAACAAGACCCUUACUUGAGAGGUAGCUUUACCAGAUAAAAUACAGGACGCCCAGAUGAAAAACAAGGAAUUAUUUUUUUAGUAUAAGUAUGCGCCAAAUAAAGAGUAUGCUUCUACGAAAGAAAUUCGUCUUUUGCUACCUGAAAUAUUAAUUACACUGGGGGUCUUGUAUUGUUAUUUCCCAAAUCUGGCAAUCCUAUUUACAAGUGAUACUUCAUAAGCAACAAAAGUCAUUUGAAAAAGUACACAAAAGUAAUUCUGCCCAAGAAGAUUACUUUCCACACCUGCAAAGGUCAUAGAAGUGGGAGGGAAUGUGAAAAGAACAGACCUGAGUGGCGGCAGCUGGGGAGCACGCAUGCGCUCUCCCGGCUCUUGCCCACGCUCUCCCACGCAGGCCCACGCUCUCCCACGCAGGCCCGCGCUCUCCCGCGCUCUCCUGCGCUCCCCCACUUGUCCUGCAGACAGUUCUGCGAGGUCCAUAGGGUGUCUUGCUGUGAGCCUGGGUUCCUGCUCCCGGUUAGGGGUAAGUAUCUCCAAAACUGGAACGCUGCAAUACUUGCUAAGAAAUGCUUUCUUUAUGGUGCGCCAGGAUAUCUAGCGAGAAAUUCCGUAAAGGUACAGCCAUGCAGCCCAAUUGCUGCCUGUGUGGGUUUAGAUCUUGCUGGAAAGAAGCAGUGGACCCCCCUUAUUUGUUAACUGGGCCAAUGGAAAUAAUUUAACAGUCUGCUGAAUAUAAUGGCUAUGGGGGAGACCUGUUUUUUGGGUAUUAUAGAAUUGUCAAAGAGGAAACCCAAGAAGAAAACGUGAAGAGAGUUGAAUUUCUAAGAAUGUAAUUAAUCCAUUUCAAAGUACAAAGUAAAGUGGAUAGUUUUUAAAGAAAAUUUUUCUUUCGCAAGCUGAAUUUAUUGCUCUGUAUUUAACGCUAUAUUAAGUUUAAAAAGGUAGUAUAGUGUGAGGGAAUAUGCACACAUAUACAUUAAACCUUUCUAAUCUGAAAAAAAAGUUACUUAUUUUGGUCCUAUCGCUUUGAGUUUGUUUUAAAAGGUAUCCAGUUGAAAAAUCAGUUGUUUUGAACGAAAACGGUCUAUCAAACAGGUGAUACUGAUUUAUUUUCACUUUCACCUGGCUUUGCUUGCUACAUAACUAUAAGAAGUUGCUAAUUAAUGUUGGUAAAUAUUUUUGUGACUUUAUUCUGUCGGUAUGCCUUUCCAAGAGAAAGUAGAUUUAAUUCCACCAUGUAUUGGGGGCUAAAUUUUACCAGUACUGCUUAUGUAUAUAGUAAUUGUUUUCUAAGCCUGUUUUAUGUUAACAAUUUACAUCUUGAAUUAGCUUUAUUGUAGUAUAAAGGUAUUUAUUAUUUCUGUUGCCGAGUUGGUUAUACUUUAUUUUUAGACAUAAUUUUAAAUUCAUUAUAAAUAUUGAAGAAAUGAGUACCUAUUUUGAAGAUGGCCAUUUUUUUUUUAAUUCCGACGACUGAAUGGAAUCAUUAUUGGGCUAUGAUACCUAGUGAAUUACCUUUAUAAAAAAAUACAUUUGGGAAAUAGACAGUGCUACUAUCCAAGAUAGUUAUGGUGACUAAUUAGCAUCUUACCUAGAUUUACAAUACUGUUAACCCUGUAAAAUAAUUUUUGUAAAAUAGGUCACAAACUGGGUCUACCUGAGUCUUAAGUAUAAGUCUCAUGUUUUGUGGGUUUGUAUUGCAACUCUAAACUAAAACAAAACCUACUGUCAAAGUAAAAUAACACAGCAUGGACAACUUUGUAGGGCGACAUUGUUUCACCUUUGUUUUUUUGCUUAGAUCUUCAUCCAGAGCUGACUGCUUAACUUGGACCUUUCGCCCUGGUCUUAGUAACUGCAUUUCCCUCUUAUUACUGAGAACACCUGUUUGUUCCCUCCAUGUCUGUGAUUCUAUCCCUUUCUGGUUCUCUCAUACACCUGGUUCUGAACAUUUUUCUGGUGAAUGCAGAUAUGACCCCUCCUCUCCUGGUGAUUGAUAUUGUGACCCCCAACCUUAAGCUUUGGAAUCCUUAGAAUUUCUUUGUAUGUAAGUGAUGCUUGGGGAGCUGUUUGAAUAUGGGGGGGAGCAACUUGCCUUGAAGAGUGGGAGUCUCUCGGUUUUUACUUAAAUUGUAUAUUUAUUUGGGAUGGCUGGAGAAUAGCUAUAGAAAUUCUUUUUUUUAAAUUUUUUAUUGGAAUAUAGUUGACUUAGGGUGUUGUAUUAGUUUCAGGUGUACAGCAAACUGAAUCAGUUAUACAUAUAUCUAUUCUUUUUUCCCAUAUAGGUAUACUUGAUUUACAGUGUUGGGUUAAUUUCUUCUGUACAGCAAAGUGACCCAGUCAUACAUAUACAUAUAUAUAUAUUUUUUUUCUCAUACUGUCUCCCAUCAUGUUCUGUCGCAGGAGAUUGAAUAUAGUUCUCUGAGCUAUACAGUAGGACCUCAUUGCUUAUCCAUUCUAAAUGUAAUAAUUAUUUUAUACAGUAGUAUGUAUAUGAUAUUCCCUUCCUCCUAAUUCCUUUCUCCCCUCCAUAGUUUCCCAUAUAGUAACCAUACUUUUUGGACUUGAAAUCUGUGAGUUUGUUUCUGUUUUAUAAAUAAGUUCUUUUGUAUCAUUUUUAUUAGAUUCCACAUAUAGGUGAUAUCAUAUGAUAUUUGUCUUUCUCUGACUUACUUAGUAUGACAAUCUCUAGAUCCAUCUGUGUUGCUGAAAAUGGCAUUUUUUAUGGCUGAUUAAAUUCCAUUAUAUGUAUGUACCAUAUCUUCUUGAUCCAUUCCUCAGCCAGUGGACAUUUAGGUUUCGUCCAUGUAUUGGCUGUUGUAAAUAGCACUGCAGUGAACAUUGGAGUGUGUAUCUUUUCAAAUUAUGGUUGUCGCUGGAUAUAUUCCCAUGAGUGGAAUUUCUGGAUCAUAUGGUAGUUCUAUAUUUAGUUUUUUGAGAAACCUCCAUAUUGUUCUCCAUAGUGGUUGCACUAGCUUAGAUUCCCAGCAGCAGUGUAAGAGGUCCCUUUUUUUCAAACCCUUUUCAACAUUUACUGUUUGUAGCCUUUUUGAUGAUGGCCAUUCUGACUGGUGUGAGGUGGUACCUCAUUGUAGUUUUGACUUGCAUUUCUUAAGUGUGCAUUGGAUGAUUGACUUAAUGUCAUAAAUCCCUAGUCCUAGAUUUCAAAUGGUCAAAUAGUGCAUUCUUGGAGUUCACUAUUUCUUCUAGUUGAAGGUCUCUUCGUCAAAUGCUUGCUUUGGAAACUGCUUAUUGUCUGUCAUGAUAUCCUUUGAUUACCAAGGUCUCUUCAAUAUACUGCAUGGUAUGGUCAUGAAAUUAGUUCUAAAACAUUUCUGGAACUGAAGUUCUUCAUGUUAUAUGAGUGAACUGGUUACUUAACUUCCCUGUGCCUGUUUUGCGUUUUUAUAAAAUGAAGAUAAUCAUAAUAUUCAUUCUUUCUCACAGUUGGUAAGAGGAUUAAGUGAGGAAACGUAAGUGCUUGACACAUACUUGACAAUCAGGAAACACUCAUAAAAAUUACCUUCCUGUAUUAUGUGGAACAAAGAUGGACUUUGUCCAACACACUUUAUCUGUGUUGUAGAUAAAUAUAUAUUCAUAAUGCUGAAUCAUUUAUUCAACAAACUGUUCUUAAGUGCUCCUUUAUUCCAGGCUUCUGAAAGUGAGCUAGCCCAGGCAUUUAUUAGAAACAGUAAUAGGGAAUAUGACGUGUUAGAAUUAAGGAUGGCUGGAAGUGUAAAGGAGAUGGUUGUGGGUAAAGUGACAUAACUAAAAAUAUAGCCCCAAAAGUUACAGAGAAUGGAAAAAUAGCAAUGAGUUAAUUUUAGUGCAGGGAAUUAAAAGGUGAGCUUGGAGACAUUAUUGAUGCUAGAAAUGACUUGACUUUCAGAGACUUGUAGUAAUACGGACCUGAUGGAUUGUCAGUAUUGAGGCUGCAAAGAACAAAUAGCUUUAUUUGGGCUCUUAAGAAUUGUAGUUCAGGACAUGCAGAGUCAGGUAAAACCAAAUGAGUGUUCUGGGGAACAGGAAAAGUCAGGGGCUUAUGAAGACAAAAGCCACAAGGUUGUCAAAGUUGCCUGGUAGGAAUUAUGAUUGACUUUGGCGCAAGUUAGGAAAAAUUUGUCCUUAAGGUAUUGCAAGUUAUUUUAUGGUUAAGAUCUGAUAAGUAUCUUGAGUAGGACAUUGGGUGCUCACAUGCUCAGAUUCCAUCUAGGCUGACAGGUGCACAUGUUAUACUUCCUCCAUGGCCUCCUGGCUCCAUUUUAUAGAACUCUCUUAAUACCGACUUCAUUUUGAUUUUUCCUUUUACAUUUCUCCCUUUUGAUUGAGAUUUUUCUUGGGAAAGCAUCUUUGAUCAACCAUUUGGUUAUAUGUCAUUAACAUCGACUUACUUGGUGCUGGGAAGUCUCAUUCUCAGAGAGUCAUGUUCCACGGAGGAGAGAAAGAGGUGAUUGCAGGGGAGGUAUGCUUUUAGAGAGUUUAUGGCCCUGUUGAAGCAACAAGGAGCCAUCUAGGAAGUGAAUCUUAGGUGAUGUUCAAGAUAUAAGUUCCUGGAUCUUCAUUAGGAGAUCUUCAUAUAGGGAUGGUCAGUCAUUUCCAGACGUCAAGUUGUCAUUAUUCCUGUGAAGGGUGUCAUAGUAUAUAGUAGUGAGAGAUACAAGGCAUAAACAGUUUAAAAAUAACAAAGAAAGAACAAAUUAUAGCAAUGAUUAGUAUAACUCGUUGCAGUUGGGAUCACAAUAAGAUAACAGAUCCAGAGGGGGGCAGCUGAAGAUUUCUACAUGUCAGGGUCACAGCAUCUUUUGCAGUUCGAAAUGUCUCUGAUGAUGUCACUGGAAGUUUAGGUGAACUUUCUGAGUGGCUCAUAAAGCAGCAGGGAUGAAAUUUUUUAAGUGAGCUGUCACAGUGAUUUCUCUGAAGUUUGUAUCAAGUCGUCCAAUUUUAGCUUGCAUGGCUUUGGAAAAAUGGCAGUUGAAGUUUUCCAUGAUUCCAAGUCAAAAGGAUGGGAGAUAAACUGGAAACAUUAGUUUGGAGAGUCAUGGCCAAAUAGUGGAGGAAACUAGAAGAAUUCAGGUUCUAGUCAAAUUUAGAGGUGAAUACCAAAACCUCAAAGAGAGUUAAUAGCACUAGAAUCUAAUAUCCACGGAGGUAUAUUACUGAAACAUUUUUCUCUCUAAAAUCAUCCUCAUUUCUACAAAAGAGAGCCAAAUAAAGACAUUUGUUUUCAAAAUGUCUAGUUUCAAUAAACUUAGACUGAUUGUUUACUUAAGUGUAAUAACAAUCUUGUAGGCUCUUUUGAAUCUGCUUUGCUGGAACUUUUUAUAAAGAAUCACAGAUUAAACUUUUAAAGGUCUCUUGAGGCCAGGAAAGCCAGUCCAAGGACUUGAUAAUAGACUUCACCUGCAGUACCUAUAGAGGAGUUGGGUGAAAUUCCUCUCUUGUUGAGUUCCCCAAAUAACUUUAGAUUCCUGUACUUGCCUGGAAAUGACCUUCAUCCCUCACCUGGUAAGGUGGUUGGGAACCCUGUGAACAAGGUACUGGGUGGAUUUUUCAAAGAUCUUUUUGGCUUUAUAAAGUCAACCUGUCUGGUUAUAUCUGAGAGGCAUGUCUCUCCCAAAUAGGACAUUGCAGUCAAAGCCUUGGUAAGAUAAGCAUUGUUUCCAGUUAUAAGAACUUACUCUUAUUGAACUUAUGCAAAUAACCAUAUUAC